This 2027-nucleotide long non-coding RNA is filed under the name Rattus norvegicus (Norway rat). RNAcentral's name for it is "long non-coding RNA NONRATT020497". The record is from RNAcentral. Lineage: Eukaryota; Metazoa; Chordata; Mammalia; Rodentia; Muridae.
CUUGUCCACAGACGGGAACAGUUCUCUUCAUGAAUGAAGGUCAGAGACAAGUGGGUGCUGCCAUGGUGGACAACACAGUGUCAUCUAGAAUGGCUGAACCCCAACCCCCAGCACAUCAGCACCACAGAUGCCUUUGCCAUCUCUUAGAUGCCCUGAUGAAGCCAACAACUGUGAGUACUAUUCAUUGCUCAGGAUAUCAGGAGGAAAGAGAUUCAGUGACAUGGGACAGUAACAAAGCAGAUAAAGUGGCUCAGGAAAUGGCUAUGCAGGAGCCUAUCCUGGUUAUAGGCCUACAAGAGACAGCCACUGGGAACUGAGAUUAGACUAAGGGAUGACCUCACUUAGAAUGUACAACAGAAAAAAAGGCCCAAGUUGUUUAAAAGAUAAAAGGACAAUGACACACUUGGGGAGAAAGCUAUACCCCCCAGAGAACAAACAAAAGACUCACUUUGCCAAAUUAAAAAAUGGACUCAUUUAAGAGAUAAAAAAUUUGUCCAAAUAGUUAAGUAUAUAUAAUAGACUUUAAGAUUUUAGCCAGAGAGACAGUAAAAAAUAUAAGAUAUGUCAGUAAACAAAUGCUUAACAAACAAACAGGACAAAGAGACCUAGAGAGUUUAACGAAAAGUUGAAGUGAACUUCACUGAGAUAAAACCAGAAAAAUAUAAUCACAAGUAUCUCCUAGUGCUUGUAGAUACUUUUUCAGGAAUAGAUAGAAGCUUUCCUCACCAAACGAGAGACGGCCUCUACAAUCAUCAAGAAGAUACUGAAAGAAAUCUUCCCCAGGUCUGGAAUGCCCAAGGUAAUCUGGUCAGACAACGGUCCUACUUUCGUUGCCAAGGUAAGCCAGGGUGUGGCCAAGUAUUUAGAGGUCGAUUAGAAAUUACAUUGUAUUUACAGACCUCAAAGCUUAAGACAGGUAGAGUAAAUAAAUAGAACUCUAAAAGAGACCCUAACCAAAUUGACCAUAGAGACUGGCACAGACUGGGUGACACUCCUUCCCUCUUGCUCUCUUCAGAGCAAGAAAUACCCCUUCCAGAUUCAGCCUUACCCCCUUUGAGAUCUUAUAUGGGGCCUCAGCUCCCCUGACUGUAUUAGAUGAUGUUACUGAACCAACUUGUCAUAGUGCCAUAGUAAUAAUGAUUUGUGUGCCAGGCUAAAAGACCUACAGGUGAUACAGAAAGAAAUCUGCUCACAGCUGACAGCAGCCUAUGCCCCGGAGACCCCUGAGACAUCCCAUCAGUUCCAGGUCGGAAGCAGCUACACUGAGCCCAGACACUCGAGCCUCGCUGGAAAAGACCGUACCUGGUGCUGCUGACCACCCUGACAGCCGUCAAUUCUCAGCCCUCACCAGCCGUAUACUAGCUGUUAGGGCUGAGAGCUGGGACCUAGAGGGAAAUUCAGUCAUGUUUGUCCUGGGUUCCAUCGAGAUAGGUGUGGAGAUAGGCUUAAUUUCUAUUACAAAUGAUGUAACAUUACAUAUGUUAAUACUCCUAACACUUCUUGGGACUGUGCCUCAGGGAUCACUACCUAUAUAAGUUUAGAAGUUCUGAAAGACAGUCAUGACCUUGGUGUAUAGGUUUAGAUAGUGUCCAGAUAGAAUCCUGAUGCCAAAGACUUUUUAGCUGACCUCCAAGAAUACCUAACCUCCCUCUCAGAGGUAGUCCUUCAAAAUAAGAAAAGAUUAGACCUGAUAUUCCUUAAAGAAGGAGUCUGUGUGCUAUACUGAAAGAAGAAUGUUGCUUCUAUACAGACCAUUCAAGAGUAAUUAAGGACUCCAUAAAUAAACUUAAAAAAGGGUUAGACAAAGACAGACAGAAAAACACAUAAGAGAUGGUUUGAGAGCUAGUUUAGUAGAUCUCCCUGGAUGACUACUCUACACUCUGCUACAGCUGGGCCAUUAUUAAUAAUUUUCUUGGUUUUAGUUUUUGACUCCUGCGUGACAAACAGGUUAAUUGCUUUUGUUAAAAAUUGAGUGGGUGCUGUGCGGUUGAUGGUUGUGAGACAACAGUACCAGUCAGUUAAGACAA